UGAAGGUAUACCAUGCGAUUUGUCUACUCCUGAAGCAACUCCACAUGAAGGCGAAUCCGCAUCUUUCUGAAUGCCAGGUGUUUCACAUCAGUUAAGGACAAAGCUGCAGCCAGUAAUGAAGUCGAAGCCAGCACAAGCAGUGCCAGCAAGUUUUGCAGUAAGUGUGAACUUCCUGAGCAGAACAGAUCAGAUGACAGGAGAAGGCUUUCCAUAGAGUGCACAUCUUAUCACCAAUGGCAAACCCCUCAAACCAAAUCCGGUAUCAGACCUGUGGAAUGAAAGCACGUUGUACAAGCAGUUUGAGCUACAGGAGCUCGUCUGUUGGAUCGGACCACACGGACCAGCCUUCGCUCCCCACGUGCAUCACUGAGCCUCGGCCGACCGUGACCCUGGCGCCGGUUCACCACUGUUCUUCCUUGGAGCCCUUUCAACCGAUACUGACCACUGCACACCGGAAACAUCCGACAAGAGCUGCGGUUUUGAAAACACUCUGACCCAGUCGUCUAGCCGCUGUCAAACUCGUUUAGAUCCUUUCGCUCAACCGUUUUCUUGAUUCUAACACAUUAAGUUUGUAAACAAAAUGUUCUCUCGCUGCCUAAAAUAUCCCACCCACUAACAGCUGUCAUGAUUAAUAGAAAAUCAGUGCUCAUAAUGUUAUAAUGGUGUGUGUGUAUAU
Silurus meridionalis is the source of this 676-nucleotide long non-coding RNA. RefSeq lists it as uncharacterized. The transcript has 3 exons. The record is from RefSeq and is a predicted model, not a curated record. NCBI's taxonomy places the organism in Eukaryota, Metazoa, Chordata, Actinopteri, Siluriformes, Siluridae.